RNAcentral lists this ribosomal RNA (439 nucleotides) under uncultured bacterium. RNAcentral's name for it is "partial 16S ribosomal RNA". It matches the Rfam family "Bacterial small subunit ribosomal RNA", at positions 339 to 795 of the family's 1533-position model. The record is from RNAcentral.
CUACGGGACGCUGCAGUGGGGGAUAUUGCACAAUGGGCGAAAGCCUGAUGCAGCAACGCCGCGUGAAGGAUGACGGAUUUCGGUCUGUAAACUUCUAUCAGCAGGGAAGAAAAUGACGGUACCUGACUAAGAAGCCCCGGCUAACUACGUGCCAGCAGCCGCGGUAAUACGUAGGGGGCAAGCGUUAUCCGGAAUUACUGGGUGUAAAGGGUACGUAGGCGGCUGAUCAAGUCAGAUGUGAAAGCCCGGAGCUCAACUCCGGGAUUGCAUUUGAAACUGGUCGGCUAGAGUGCAGGAGAGGAAAGUGGAAUUCCUAGUGUAGCGGUGAAAUGCGUAGAUAUUAGGAAGAACACCAGUGGCGAAGGCGGCUUUCUGGACUGUAACUGACGCUGAGGUACGAAAGCGUGGGGAGCGAACAGGAUUAGAUACCCCGGUAGUC